CUCACGUCCGCGAGAUCGCCCGAGCUGCGAACGAGAUUUUCAUUCCCAAAACAACGACGAGGCACGACGUUCGAAAGAAAACAAAAUUCAAGGCGACAGUGACACCACGACGCUCCCACUUUACGUCAGCCGUAUACGCCAGUGUUUUCGAAGUUUUUUUUUUAGUUCACCAAAAUUUAUCGACGGAAAAUUACCAACCAUCGUGUUGUAUCGUAUCUUUUAAUUAGCCGCAUAAAUUUCCUAAUGUCUCUCUCUAAUCCCUGCUCCUAACCUAAUCAUUUUAACUUAUCGGAAAAGCACAAGUACUGAACUCCAGUAUUAAGCUUAUCAAGAAUAAACCAACUACAUUUAAUUAAAACAACCAAACCUAAACUA
This is a long non-coding RNA of Frieseomelitta varia, 375 nucleotides long. RefSeq lists it as uncharacterized. Lineage: Eukaryota; Metazoa; Arthropoda; Insecta; Hymenoptera; Apidae. The transcript is spliced from 3 exons. The record is from RefSeq and is a predicted model, not a curated record.